GUGAGUAUAGUAUAGAGGUUAGUAUAGCUCGUUGUGGUUUCCGCAAUUCCGAGCAGACGCAGGUUCGAUUCCUGCUACUCACA
Molecule: transfer RNA, 83 nt
Organism: Wallemia sebi
Lineage: Eukaryota; Fungi; Basidiomycota; Wallemiomycetes; Wallemiales; Wallemiaceae
Rfam family: tRNA
About the family: Transfer RNA (tRNA) molecules are approximately 80 nucleotides in length. Their secondary structure includes four short double-helical elements and three loops (D, anti-codon, and T loops).
Source: Rfam